This 1938-nucleotide long non-coding RNA is filed under the name Triticum aestivum (bread wheat). RNAcentral describes it as "long non-coding RNA (TAES_LNC012287)". Lineage: Eukaryota; Viridiplantae; Streptophyta; Magnoliopsida; Poales; Poaceae. The record is from RNAcentral.
CCGUCUUCUCUGGCCACCUCCCGCAUCUCCUUGGACGCAGACCGCUGCAAGUACGCCGUGGGCUACGCGCUGCACAUCCUCGCCGGCGACGGCGCCACAUGCUACUCAUUCUUCUCCAUCGACGUGCUCCACGGCCAUCCCCUUCAAGUACGCGCUGCUCCCUGAGGACGUCCACACCGUCUGCACGAAGCUGGGGUUCGGAUCACCGUCGGCCAAACUGCAGUAUUAGCGCUUUCUAUCAGUUCGCUAGGAUGUAUUUCAUGGCCGUCGUUCCUCGCACUUAGUUAGCCUGAUCUAUCAAAUCGCAGUAUUAGCGCUUUCUGUGGUCUCACAUCGCAGUUUUCUCUGCCCAAACUGCAGGAGGCAUGAAGAGAUUGGCUAUAGACCAGGCAGGAGAAUAGGGGAUAGGAAAACGCAGAAAACUGCCACGCAAUAUAUGUUCUCUUGCACGUUUGAAUCCUGAUUUGGAUUCUCCUACAGAUUUGAAUUUUUUUAUCAUACCAACUAGCUUGUUAUUUUUUCGUGAGUAUAAUGAUAUGCCUGGUGCCCAAGGCUGUGCUUUUCCUCCUCAUAGUCCAAGUUACUCGAAAAUAGAUAUCAUAGCCCUGGAUUUGAUUGCAGUAGAAGUAUCAUAGAUUCAUCUCCACACAUACCCCAUCUGUGGAUGUCAAGCCAAUCACCCUGAUUCCUAUAUGCUAGCCUAAGUUGUGAAUCGUUGUCUCCUUAGGACUAUUAAACCUAGAAAUUCUCAAAAUAAAGCAAAACAUCAAGCCCUUGAUCAUGUGGACCUUACUUCAAAAAGCAUGGAUGUGAUCUAAUAUAAGCUUAUUCUUUGAUUUUCCACCGAGAUUCCUCACGCUGUGCACAGAUGAAAGAUGUUGGGCCAUUCAAAUGGCUUCUUCAGCACGCCGUCAUCCUCUCCUCCUCUAGCCAACAUCGAUGGCAUUUCGGUGUUGAGAAGAGAGUAUCGUGUCACAUAUAUGCUGCUUGAUUCCCUGGAUUCUGGAUCUCCUCGGGAAAAAGUAGGUGAACGAUUUGCAAAGGUGCAGAUUAAUAUGGCAUGAUAACCCUGUUUUUAUUCUUCGGUUUAUUUUGAUCCCAGGCAUUAGAAGGAUUUUCUUUUUGGCUGUUACGCUGCUCUGCUAGGCAUUAGAAGGAUUUCGUUUUUUACUGGUACACCUGCUCUGCACCAUUAUCUAAAUAAAAUCCUAAGAAGAGUAUGUCUGUAGCUAGCUUUCACUUGCUUCUGUUUUGGGAAAUGUAGGAACAAUACAGCAUGUACUCCUAUGUCCUGCAUAUGAACGUGAGACGAAACUGAGGCACACCCUACUGUAUUAAUACCGGUGACUCAUGUUCAGCUAAUUGUUUUACACACUUUUGUAUGGGCACUGUUUAGUAUCGUAUUAGAUUUAUCAUUCUCCGCAAAAAUAAUAAUAUAGGAUAUUAUGAUUGUCCAGUAAAAUAGAGUAGGCCAAUCUAUAGGAUGAAGUAAGUUAAUUUUGUUUUAUUCACAGGAAUGCAUGUGUUUUAUCACUCACUAAUUAUAUGGGGUUUUCACACAUACAAGUGAUGCAUUUAACAUAUUUUGAGAGGAAAUAGGUUGUUUUUUUAUUGUUUUUUUUCUUCAUAGAAAUAAAAGUCGGUUUUCAGAGAGAUGUUGGUUUCAGCCUUGGCCUUCUUCAGUUGAAAGAUCACGCUGUUUUACUUACUUUUGGAGGAUUCCGUCAUUUUCAGAAGUCAAUAUCUCAGCAGCAAGCUGGCAACUUGGCCAAUGAUGUUGGACGAACCAAUUCUUUUAGACUCAAAUUCUUGGAUUGGUGCUGUAUAUUCUGAAUUUCUUUUGUGAACAAAAGUGAGGAGUGGGAGAGGAUCUGCAAUUGUAAAAUUUGCUUGUUUUCAUUGGAAUUGUCUACUAAUUAUGAAAUGAUUUUUAUUUCU